Microcebus murinus (gray mouse lemur) is the source of this 329-nucleotide non-coding RNA. NCBI's taxonomy places the organism in Eukaryota, Metazoa, Chordata, Mammalia, Primates, Cheirogaleidae. The record is from RefSeq and is a predicted model, not a curated record.
CCCCACCCCUUGGUCUCCUAGCUAGCUGGGAUCCUGGCUGGGAGUGUGCUGAUCGCGUGCGCCUUGAUCUGUAUGUUCUGGGACAAUUUACCAUAUGGAACACAAAAGGAAUCGGCGUCCACCCACCAAGAGGACACUGAGUAUCACAGGAGAGACGAGUGGAUGUCAACGAGCAUGCAAGUGGCACCUCGUUUGCAUAGUGACACAAUGAGGUCUCGCGCUCUGUGUAACAGAAGCUAAAGAUUCCAGAGGUGUCUCUCAUGGGGACCAAAAGAAGGCCUAACCUUCCGGGCAUCUAGGACCCUGGUUGUCCCUGCCGUGACGACCUA